GCCCUUAUAGCUCAGUGGUAGAGCGUUUGUCUUGUAAACAAAAGGUCCGUUGUUCAAUCCAGCGUGGGGGCA
Molecule: non-coding RNA, 72 nt
Organism: Cokeromyces recurvatus
Lineage: Eukaryota; Fungi; Mucoromycota; Mucoromycetes; Mucorales; Mucoraceae
Source: the annotation of a RefSeq genome assembly